CGGAAAAAAAACAUGUACGAGAGAGAAAAUUCAGAGAACGAUCUUGGAACAAACCCUAGAAACAAAUCAUUAAUGGCUGCAAAAUCAUGAUGAGUGCAGAAACAUAACAUAAUACCUCCUUCACUGAAUCUCCAAUUCUCUUUUCUCUUCGACCUCUCAUAGAAUUGUAACGCUGAGGGUUCGAGAUCGAGAAUUUAAUGAUAAAGAAGAUCGUUGUUUGAUUCCGUUGGCAGAGUAGAUGGGGAAAAAAUUGAUGGAAAUUUGCUAAAUUAGGGUUUGGAUUGAGAUAUGAAGAUGAUUCUGAUAAUACUGGUGUUAACAGCGAGGAAUUGGAAUUGGGUUUUGUCUGAAUUAGGUUUUGAGAUGUUGGUGACGAGCUCUGUCCAGAAGAAUUGAUAUUAGGGUUUGGUGAUCUGAACGAAUUCUGUUUAGAUUUCGGUAAUCUUUUUCGAUUAUGUUGUUGAAUUCAGAGAAGCAGAUUCAGAGUAAACAUCGAGGAAUUUAAGUGGUUUUGAUUGAAGUAGGUUUGGGUUUGUCUCGAAUUAACAGUUCAGAGAAGAUGAUAAUGGUAAAAUUGGAGUUAGGGUUUCUGGUGAAAUUGGAGUUAAGGUUUCUUGAUUUUUCCUGAUUGCUCCGUGAUUGAUUUCUCGGUUGAUGCACGAAUUUCUCGAAAUUGUGGCCCUCAUGUUGAUCAUGCAGGUAUCAGAAGCCAUUGUGAGCAGCAACACCAGUUUAAUCACUGUUACUACAGAAAGUGGUGAGUACCCUUCAGGGACAUACUAGGAAGAUCAAUGAAGCCUGAAGGAUUUUUAUGUACCCAAUCAGAGCAAGCACAACAGACACCUGGCUCAUACUGAUAAUCCAGACUGAUCCGUGAACGUUUGAUUGUGGAAGACCUUCCAUUCCUAGAAAAGACCUACAGAUUUGGGCACCACUAACUUAUCUGAGUUUUCUUUUAGUAUCUAUAUCUAUCAUUCUCGAAUCCUUGGCAGGGAUGGUGGUACUCUGGUAACUUGCCUUACGGAAUGGGUAGAUAUGCUCAGUUCAGUUUAGCAGAUGGGGGAUUGAUGUGUGAUGCUGUCCAUUGUGGGGAUGUGAAGAAAGCAUACUUAAUUAAAAUUCCCUCUUUGGAUUCGACAUGAUGAUUCUGCCUUUCUAGACUGUCCUUUGAGGACUUCCAAUACUAAAUUCUUGAGCAUGCUAUAGAUGGAAAAUCCAAGAUAACACUGAGGUAAUAAAUAAAGUUGGAUGAAUUGCGGAGCGGAAAAGAGCAGAAAAGUAGUGAAAGGCCGGGAGGAAUUACGCAAAUAUCUCAACCCAAGCCCGCCUCGGUUCUCAGCCGUCAGAUCGAAGCAUUUCAGCAUCCUACGGUCGCUCCAUUAUCGCACAUCAAACUCCGAAGUCCUCGCUUCACAUCGCAGCGCCCAUCUCAAUCUUGAGCCGUCCUUUUUGCUGCAUUUCCUCAUCCUACGGUCUCUCCAAUAUCUUCCCAUAUCACCGUUGGAUCCACCUACCAUCUUCACAUCCGACGCGUUUCCUCGCAAAUCAUCACCCCUUGCCACACCCGCUCAACACCCUAACUUCCAAACCCAUCGACCUCAAGCCAAACACUCCAUUCUCCCCAAACUGUCGACCUCUUCUUCUCUUCCCCAAACUUCCUCUCUUCCAUCACCUGCAACUCCUUCACCAUCAUGCCCCGACAUUACCAGACCUCGAUCUCCAUCACCACCUUCUUCCCCGACCAUCACAGAAACACAUCAACCCUAGAUGCUAUAAACAAGAAAGGCAGAGCUAGAUUUCAGUUACAGUGGAGAAAAGACCAACUUGGAGCGUUGUUCGAGUUGACAGGAGAAAGUGGAAGCAGGGGUCAGCGCUCAAUUGCAGAGGAGACAACGAAUACAGAGGGUACGGUUUUGUGUGCGCUUUCGUUUUCACACCAAGUUUUUGGCGCCGCUGCCGGGGAUGCGCGCUGAGUAGUGCUUGUCCCUGCUGCUGGAUACCUCCUUCUCUGGCUCCAGCCUUGCUUACCUACCUUGCCUGCCAACUCCCUUUUUAACCUGCUGUAACUUAAGCAGAUACCUGUUCUGUGCUUUGCUGCUGCAUCACCCUUGCUGCUGCAUCACCCUUGCUGCUGUGUGCUACUGCUGCUGUGCUGUGUAGCUGGUGCUGGUGCUGCUGCUGUCUGCUUCUAGCUGCUGCUGUUCUGCUUUGCUGCAAAGCUUUGCUGCUGCUUGUGCUACCAACCUCUACCUUCUUCUCCUGAGCCAGUGCUGCUAUUCCAGCUGGGUGAGCUGAACCAAGGUGUUGUGGGCUGCAGUGAAGCUGAGUUAGAGACAAGCCCAACUGGGUUGAUGCAACAAAGGGAAUAAAAGCCCAACUGGGCUUCCCUCCAAAACCAAGUAAGCCUAACCCAUGAGUUAACCCAACUGGGCCUCAUUAAAAUUCAUUUGGGCUUGUAAUAAUUUAUUCAAUUAAAUUGGGCUUGUAAUAAUUUUUAUUUGUUUUUUUUCUUUUCUUUUUCUUUUAUGGGCUUGUAAUAUUUUUUUAUUGUUGUUAUUUUUCUU
Long non-coding RNA from Papaver somniferum (opium poppy), 2564 nucleotides. RefSeq lists it as uncharacterized. The record is from RefSeq and is a predicted model, not a curated record. The transcript has 6 exons. Lineage: Eukaryota; Viridiplantae; Streptophyta; Magnoliopsida; Ranunculales; Papaveraceae.